CCUACGGGAGGCAGCAGUGGGGAAUAUUGCACAAUGGGCGCAAGCCUGAUGCAGCGACGCCGCGUGAGGGAUGACGGCCUUCGGGUUGUAAACCUCUUUCAGUAGGGAAGAAGCGAAAGUGACGGUACCUGCAGAAGAAGCGCCGGCUAACUACGUGCCAGCAGCCGCGGUAAUACGUAGGGCGCAAGCGUUAUCCGGAAUUAUUGGGCGUAAAGAGCUCGUAGGCGGUUUGUCGCGUCUGCCGUGAAAGUCCGGGGCUCAACUCCGGAUCUGCGGUGGGUACGGGCAGACUAGAGUGAUGUAGGGGAGACUGGAAUUCCUGGUGUAGCGGUGAAAUGCGCAGAUAUCAGGAGGAACACCGAUGGCGAAGGCAGGUCUCUGGGCAUUAACUGACGCUGAGGAGCGAAAGCAUGGGGAGCGAACAGGAUUAGAUACCCUGUAGUCCAUGCGUACGUAGGUCGACGUAGUGUGGGACGAUCUACGUUCGUCGCGUACGCUACGCAUAGUCGCCGCCGUCGGGUAGGUACGGCCGCGACGACGUAAACGUACGAACGAAGUAGACGGCGUGAGACGUCGCCGACGGACGACGACGAGGGAGAGG
RNAcentral lists this ribosomal RNA (601 nucleotides) under uncultured bacterium. RNAcentral's name for it is "bacterial SSU rRNA". The stretch from base 1 to 514 matches the Rfam family "Bacterial small subunit ribosomal RNA", at positions 338 to 873 of the family's 1533-position model. The record is from RNAcentral.